This 46-nucleotide ribosomal RNA is filed under the name Actinobacillus minor 202. The record is from RNAcentral. Lineage: Bacteria; Pseudomonadati; Pseudomonadota; Gammaproteobacteria; Pasteurellales; Pasteurellaceae.
ACCAUAGUGCGAUAGUUCUACCUGACUCCAUUCCGAACUCAGAAGU